AGAAUCUUUCGCAAUGCCCGAAAGGGUGACGAAGCGACGCCGCGUGUGGGAAGAAGGCCUUCGGGUUGUAAACCACUGUCGGGAGUUAAGAAGUGUAAGGAUGUUAAUAGCGUCCUUACUUGACUAAGGCUCCGGAGGAAGCCACGGCUAACUCUGUGCCAGCAGCCGCGGUAAUACAGAGGCGGCAAGCGUUGUUCGGAAUUAUUGGGCGUAAAGAGCACGUAGGCGGCCUUGAAAGUCAGUUGUGAAAGCCUUCUGCUUAACGGAAGAACAGCAUCUGAUACUACAGGGCUUGAGUGCGGGAGGGGAGAGUGGAACUUCUGGUGGAGCGGUGAAAUGCGUAGAUAUCAGAAGGAACGCCGGCGGCGAAAGCGGCUCUCUGGCCCGUAACUGACGCUGAGUGUGCGAAAGCUAGGGGAUCAAACGGGAUUAGAUACCCCGGUAGUCCUAGCCGUAAACGAUGGGCACUAAGUAGAGGGGUUUUGAUUAUCUCUCUGCCGGAGCUAACGCAUUAAGUGCCCCGCCUGGGAAGUACGGCCGCAAGGCUAAAACUCAAAAGAAUUGACGGGGGCUCGCACAAGCGGUGGAGCAUGUGGCUUAAUUCGAUGCAACGCGAAGAACCUUACCGGGGUUUGACAUGGUAGAAGUAGGAACCAGAAAGGGUAACGAACGGUAUCCAGUCCGUAACUAUCACAGGUGUUGCAUGGCUG
Molecule: ribosomal RNA, 710 nt
Filed under: uncultured anaerobic ammonium-oxidizing bacterium
Lineage: Bacteria
Description: bacterial SSU rRNA
Rfam family: Bacterial small subunit ribosomal RNA
Source: RNAcentral